This 443-nucleotide ribosomal RNA is filed under the name uncultured bacterium. Its description in RNAcentral is "bacterial SSU rRNA". It matches the Rfam family "Bacterial small subunit ribosomal RNA", at positions 335 to 769 of the family's 1533-position model. The record is from RNAcentral.
ACUCCUACGGGAGGCAGCAGUGGGGAAUAUUGCACAAUGGGGGGAAACCCUGAUGCAGCCAUGCCGCGUGUGUGAAGAAGGCCUUCGGGUUGUAAAGCACUUUCAGUAGGGAGGAAGGUAGUGUAGUUAACACCUGCAUUAUUUGACGUUACCUACAGAAGAAGCACCGGCUAACUCCGUGCCAGCAGCCGCGGUAAUACGGAGGGUGCGAGCGUUAAUCGGAAUUACUGGGCGUAAAGCGCAUGCAGGCGGCCUGUUAAGUCAGAUGUGAAAGCCCGGGGCUUAACCUCGGAAUUGCAUUUGAAACUGGCAGGCUAGAGUCUUGUAGAGGGGGGUAGAAUUUCAGGUGUAGCGGUGAAAUGCGUAGAGAUCUGAAGGAAUACCAGUGGCGAAGGCGGCCCCCUGGACAAAGACUGACGCUCAGAUGCGAAAGCGUGGGGAGC